Molecule: non-coding RNA, 1695 nt
Organism: Paramisgurnus dabryanus
Lineage: Eukaryota; Metazoa; Chordata; Actinopteri; Cypriniformes; Cobitidae
Source: RefSeq, a predicted model, not a curated record
AUUUAAAUAUUUCGUUUGAUCAAACGUUUUAUGAAAUAUGUCUAAAACACGGCUUGUUUUAAUAAUUUUAGAAACGUUAGAAUGUAACGUAUUCUAAUGGUUUAGAAAUUCAGUUUAAAACAGAUAACGUUAAUAUGAGGAAGAAACGUGUACGUUUUAAAUAAAUAAUCGUUUGUUGUAAAAGUUGAAAUCAAACUGAUGCUUUUAAUAUCAUGUUUAGAUCAUGAAACUUUAGCCUUGAGUUCACAGACAGGGUGUGAACUCUCAUUUGGUCUGUAAGUUACAGACAUUUUUAUCUUUUUCAAAUGUUUUUGAUGAUGCCCACUUAAAUCACAGUUUUGGCUCUUUUCCUCAGACCCUGAUGGAUAAAAGAUGGAUAUUUUUUUCCUGGAGAAGCUAAAACAAUGUCACUUUGAGGUUCUGAAACCAGCUUUUACAAAGUUAUUUACAGCUAUUUGAAACUUGGGCACUGCAUUUUACAGACAGAAUCCUGCAACUUCCCAGCCAAGAACCAGGAGCAUCAACAAAUCACCUACAGAACCCCAUGAUGAUAUUCCAACUCCUGUCUACAAAAGUGGGAAGAAAAUCUUAAGUUUAUGUUGGGACCAACAUGGUUGCAUUCUUCUGAGAGGCUGAGGUGACAAAACCAUUCCCAUUUGUCCUUGGAUUGGAAGAUGACGAUCUCUGCCAUCAAGCCUUCGUUGUUUUUGACAGACAGUCACUCCAGCAAUACACCCUCUUUGGUGAUGUUGACAUGUUUUAAACUUUUUUUAUGUUUUGGACAUUAAUUUUACUAAGCAGUGCACAUCAGUGUGGGUGUUUUUGAAGACUGUUGUUUACAAACUCCCAAGAACGGAAUCCCUUUCUAUAAGAAGUCUGUGUAGUUAUUUGUCAUGCUAGGGUGAUAACUCAUGUUGAUCAUAUAUUGACUGUUUGUGCAACUUAGUGUUGAUCUUAUGUGUUACAUUAACCAUUUCUUAUUACACGGUUCUCUAAAAUGCUAGAUUCUGAUUGGCCAGUUGAGACAUUCUACUACUGCUCAAAACUAAAAACUCUAAUGCUGCAAAUCAUUUUGACAGGUACAGUUUUUUAUUACACAAAAAUUAAAUAUCAAUGUCUAUUAAUUACAUAUCCGACAUUAAAUUUACAAAUGAAUAAACCAAUGUGUUUGUGACAUUUGUCCUGAAGAAACUGUUGGGGCUUUUUUCUGUGAUGACAUGCUGCCAAUACAUUAUCCCUUACUUGUACAACUUUUUACUUGAUGUAAUUGUAAUGUUAACCGGGUAUCUGUCAUUUUAGAUUGUGAGAUAUAAUACUAAUAUAUUUUUUUUAUUAGAAAGUUGAUUGUUUGUGUAGGGCUAUGUACUCUUUUAUUGUUCAUGUGGAAUAAAUAUGCUUUUUCAAUUAAAUCUAUGCUUUGUUAUUUAUAGACACCACAAUGAAAGGUAUGAAAGCAAUUUAAACCACAAAAUUUCAGCUUUAAACACAUUAACCAAACGUUGGGUUGUUUCAACCCAACAAAAAGUUAUUUCUACCCAACAGAUGGGUUAAAAAAUCAACCCAACUGGUUGGGUUGAUUGUACAACCCAACUUGUUGGGUUAAAAUAACCCAGUGUUGGGUUGGUCCAUAUUUAACCCAAUGUUGGGUUGCAAAACAACCCAAGUUGGGUUAAUUUUAACCCAACGUUUUUUAGA